Molecule: small RNA, 128 nt
Filed under: uncultured Eubacterium sp.
Lineage: Bacteria; Bacillati; Bacillota; Clostridia; Eubacteriales; Eubacteriaceae
Description: Staphylococcus-1 RNA
Rfam family: Staphylococcus-1 RNA
About the family: Firmicute (1 example). Nearby to self-splicing intron genes
Source: RNAcentral
AUAAAUCUGACCCUUUCAAUAUAAACUGUUGAAAAUUGACUAACUAAUCUUCUGUAAUGCUAUUAUGAGGAUUGCCCUUUGAGGUUUAUAGCAAUAGGUCGCCCUAUGGUUGGUCACAUGCUUUUAUG